Molecule: ribosomal RNA, 509 nt
Filed under: Amazilia yucatanensis
Lineage: Eukaryota; Metazoa; Chordata; Aves; Apodiformes; Trochilidae
Description: partial 12S ribosomal RNA
Rfam family: Bacterial small subunit ribosomal RNA
Source: RNAcentral
UAGAUACCCCACUAUGCCUAGCCUUAAAUCUUGACACUUCCUAGACCAAAGUGUCCGCCUGAGAACUACGAGCACAAACGCUUAAAACUCUAAGGACUUGGCGGUGCCUCAAACCCACCUAGAGGAGCCUGUUCUAUAAUCGAUAACCCACGCUACACCCAACCGCUCUUUGCUUGCUCAGCCUACAUACCGCCGUCGCCAGUCCACCUAUCUUGAAAGAAUAACAGUGAACACAACAGCCUCAACCACGCUAAAAAGACAGGUCAAGGUAUAGCCCAUAGAGCGGAAGAAAUGGGCUACAUUUUCUAUACUAGAAAAUUACGAAAGGGGGCAUGAAAUUCCCCCCAGAAGGCGGAUUUAGCAGUAAAGUUGAACCACAAUGCCAUCUUAAAGCUGGCCCCGGGGCACGUACAUACCGCCCGUCACCCUCCUCGUAAGCUAUCAACAUAAGUAACUAACACCAAUUUCUCAGCCAAAGACGAGGUAAGUCGUAACAGGGUAAGUGUACA